RNAcentral lists this ribosomal RNA (811 nucleotides) under uncultured bacterium. RNAcentral describes it as "bacterial SSU rRNA". It matches the Rfam family "Bacterial small subunit ribosomal RNA", at positions 8 to 796 of the family's 1533-position model. The record is from RNAcentral.
AGAGUUUGAUCAUGGCUCAGAACGAACGCUGGCGGCGUGGAUAAGACAUGCAAGUCGGACGAGAUUUUUCGUUGUAGCAAUACGAUGGAAAGUCUAGUGGCGAACGGGUGCUUAACACGUGGGCAAUCUGUCUUAAAGUGGGGGGAUAGCUCGGCGAAAGCCGAAUUAAUACCGCAUGUGAUUAGAGUGGACAUCCAUUCGAAAUUAAAGGUGGCGCAAGCUACCGCUUUUUGAGGAGCCCGCGGCCUAUCAGCUUGUUGGUGAGGUAACGGCUCACCAAGGCUUUGACGGGUAGCUGGUCUGAGAGGACGACCAGCCACACUGGGACUGAGACACGGCCCAGACACCUACGGGUGGCAGCAGUCGAGAAUUUUUCUCAAUGGGGGAAACCCUGAAGGAGCGACGCCGCGUGGAGGAUGAAGGUCUUCGGAUUGUAAACUCCUGUCAUUGGGGAACAAGUCGCUUACGUUAACUGCGUGAGCGUUGAUAGUACCCGAAGAGGAAGAGACGGCUAACUCUGUGCCAGCAGCCGCGGUAAUACAGAGGUCUCAAGCGUUGUUCGGAUUCAUUGGGCGUAAAGGGUGCGUAGGCGGCGCGGUAAGUCGGGUGUGAAAUCUUGGAGCUUAACUCCGAAACUGCAUUCGAUACUGCCGUGCUUGAGGACUGGAGAGGAGACUGGAAUUUACGGUGUAGCGGUGAAAUGCGUAGAUAUCGUAAGGAAGACCAGUGGCGAAGGCGGGUCUCUGGACAGUUCCUGACGCUGAGGCACGAAGGUCAGGGGAGCAAACGGGAUUAGAUACCCUUGUAGUCC